GACGAACGCUGGCGGCGUGCUUAACACAUGCAAGUCGAACGGAAAGGCCCUGCUUUUGUGGGGUGCUCGAGUGGCGAACGGGUGAGUAACACGUGAGUAACCUGCCCUUGACUUUGGGGUAACUUCAGGAAACUGGGGCUAAUACCGGAUAGGAGCUCCUGCUGCAUGGUGGGGGUUGGAAAGUUUCGGCGGUUGGGGAUGGACUCGCGGCUUAUCAGCUUGUUGGUGGGGUAGUGGCUUACCAAGGCUUUGACGGGUAGCCGGCCUGAGAGGGUGACCGGCCACAUUGGGACUGAGAUACGGCCCAGACUCCUACGGGAGGCAGCAGUGGGGAAUAUUGCACAAUGGGCGGAAGCCUGAUGCAGCAACGCCGCGUGCGGGAUGACGGCCUUCGGGUUGUAAACCGCUUUCGCCUGUGACGAAGCGUGAGUGACGGUAAUGGGUAAAGAAGCAACGGCUAACUACGUG
Molecule: ribosomal RNA, 468 nt
Filed under: uncultured bacterium
Lineage: Bacteria
Description: partial 16S ribosomal RNA
Rfam family: Bacterial small subunit ribosomal RNA
Source: RNAcentral